CGGCGGCCUUUCUCGGGUAAGCUAAAUUGUUUUUGUGCGAAAUUUGGCACGCCCGUGGAAUGCCCAUUGCAGUAU
RNAcentral lists this microRNA precursor (75 nucleotides) under Ascaris suum (pig roundworm). RNAcentral's name for it is "microRNA asu-mir-5350d precursor". The record is from miRBase by way of RNAcentral. Lineage: Eukaryota; Metazoa; Nematoda; Chromadorea; Rhabditida; Ascarididae.